CCUACGGGAGGCAGCAGUGAGGAAUAUUGGUCAAUGGCCGAGAGGCUGAACCAGCCAAGUCGCAUGAGGGAAGAAGGUCCUACGGAUUGUAACCCUCUUUUGUCAGGGAGCAAAUUCACCCACGUGUGGGUGUUGAAGAGUACCUGAAGACAAAGCAUCGGCGAACUCCGUGCCAGCAGCCGCGGGAAUACGGAGGAUGCGAGCGGUAUCCGGAUUUAUUGGGUUUAAAGGGUUCCUAGGCGGGUUAUCAAGUCAGCGGUAAAAUCGUGGAGCUCAACUCCAUCCGGGCGUUGAACCUGAUGAUCCUGAGUGGGCGAGAAGGAUGCGGAAUGGGUGGUGUAGCGGUGAAAUGCAUAGAUAUCA
This 363-nucleotide ribosomal RNA is filed under the name uncultured bacterium. Its description in RNAcentral is "partial 16S ribosomal RNA". It matches the Rfam family "Bacterial small subunit ribosomal RNA", at positions 338 to 699 of the family's 1533-position model. The record is from RNAcentral.